UACGAAGGGGGCUAGCGUUGUUCGGAAUUACUGGGCGUAAAGGGCGCGUAGGCGGUACCUCAAGUCAGGCGUGAAAGCCCCGGGCUCAACCUGGGAACCGCGCUUGAGACUGGAGAACUAGAGUUCGGGAGAGGAUGGUGGAAUUCCCAGUGUAGAGGUGAAAUUCGUAGAUAUUGGGAAGAACACCGAUGGCGAAGGCAGCCAUCUGGACCGACACUGACGCUGAGGCGCGAAAGCGUGGGGAGCAAACAGG
Molecule: ribosomal RNA, 253 nt
Filed under: uncultured bacterium
Lineage: Bacteria
Description: partial 16S ribosomal RNA
Rfam family: Bacterial small subunit ribosomal RNA
Source: RNAcentral